UCCUACGGGAGGCAGCAGUGGGGAAUAUUGGACAAUGGGCGCAAGCCUGAUCCAGCCAUACCGCGUGAGUGAAGAAGGCCCUCGGGUUGUAAAGCUCUUUUGUUGGGAAAGAAAUCCUGUUGGCUAAUACCCGGCAGGGAUGACGGUACCCAAAGAAUAAGCACCGGCUAACUUCGUGCCAGCAGCCGCGGUAAUACGAAGGGUGCAAGCGUUACCCGGAAUUACUGGGCGUAAAGCGUGCGUAGGUGGUGGUUUAAGUCUGUUGUGAAAGCCCUGGGCUCAACCUGGGAAUUGCAGUGGAUACUGGAUCACUAGAGUGUGGUAGAGGGUGGCGGAAUUCCCGGUGUAGCAGUGAAAUGCGUAGAGAUCGGGAGGAACAUCCGUGGCGAAGGCGGCCACCUGGGCCAACACUGACACUGAGGCACGAAAGCGGGGGGAGCAAACAGGAUUAGAUACCCUGGUAGUCCACGCCCUAAACGAUGCGAACUGGAUGUUGGGUUCAACUUGGAACCCAGUAUCGAAGCUAACGCGUUAAGUUCGCCGCCUGGGGAGUACGGUCGCAAGACUGAAACUCAAAGGAAUUGACGG
RNAcentral lists this ribosomal RNA (588 nucleotides) under uncultured bacterium. Its description in RNAcentral is "bacterial SSU rRNA". It matches the Rfam family "Bacterial small subunit ribosomal RNA", at positions 337 to 916 of the family's 1533-position model. The record is from RNAcentral.